This 1539-nucleotide long non-coding RNA is filed under the name Cyanistes caeruleus (blue tit). Its description in RNAcentral is "lncRNA (ENSCCEG00000004760.1)". The record is from RNAcentral. Lineage: Eukaryota; Metazoa; Chordata; Aves; Passeriformes; Paridae.
AUGAUGGACAUGGAACAACCCAGAGAGUUGAACACCAGCCCCGUGUUGAGCCUCAAGCCCAAGGAGCCUUCACUGGGAGAUCAUGGAACUGUAACGCUUGCGGUUGCCCUGACCCUGAGCACUGAGGGUGAUGUCAGCAGCCUGGACAAUUCCAGAACAAAUUCAUAUCCCCCUCAGCAUCUCUUGGGGCACAAAGGCAAAACCGGCAUUGAUGACCUGAAGGCCAAGCGCAAGAAGAAGCUGUACAAUUCUAAAAGCACCGAGAGUGUGAAAAGCAUUGUCCCACACCAGCCCCAGCCUGCCAGGCUGAAGGAUAUGCUGGAAAAGGCAUCCUCAAAUUGGGAUCAAGAGGAGAUGGAGUCACAUUUAAACUGGCAAGCACUGAACCCCUGGGAUGUAGCUGGUGUGUUUUACCCUUCCGGCCACCUCAGAGAUGAGGAGGAAGUUCCUGCUGCCAGGAAGAACUAUGUCAGGACACACAAGUGGCACAAGAAUGAGGACAGCAACUAUUGGAUUGGACCUAAUCAACUUUUCUACCAUGGUUGGAGACCUGUGGAAUUGAAGCGAAAGCCCAAAACUUUCCAGAUUCUAAACAGGAACCUGGAUUUUCUCUCUGACCCAUUGGCUCAGAUCCGCCCCGUUGUGAGCAGCAGGGGAGAGGCCGUGGCUGAAAGGGAGCAUUCCUCUCUAGGUGGGCACCGCCAGAUCAUGCCUGCCACCACAGAGGAGGAAGGGUCUGUGUUCCUCAAUAAACCUGUGAGCCCCCAAAUUUCAGACCUUGCCCCGGUUCCAAAAGAGCUCUUGGAUACCACAGUCAAUCAUCACCUGCGCUUGCUGGAGCCAGACAAAGACAAAGGCCUGCGGUCGUUCAUGGCCCACGUGAAGCGAGCCCUGAGGAUGGACUGCAGCCUGCCCCAGCUCAAGCAGGCCUGUGCCAAGAUGGUCUUGAAGAUGAAGCUGCUUCUAAAGGAGCUCAGCAAGAGGCAAGAGAACCAGGGAGCCUCUGAUCCCAUGGACCAGUGUCCUCUGCAAGACAACAUCUCCAGACGCACGGCCUUGGUGGAGGACAAAGAACUCACAGGGAAGGUAGGAGAGCUGCUGGGCACUGCUGCAUGUGUGUGUCCUCCUGGGCAAAGGAGAAUGGGAAGAUCAAUCCUCUGUCUCCCUGUGAUUAUCUUUGCUUUCCUCUCAACAGAAACUGGAGGCCGUGGUGUACGUGAUCACGUUUGUGGUUUUGCUGUCUUUCUUUGUCUUCGUUUCGCUGAUACUGAAGUGUGUUUUCCAUGUAAGCCUUGUUUGACACAUAUCUGUCUGUCUUGUAGCUGGAGUGCCGGGGUGAUGAGCCCCAUGUGCCACUGCAGAUGCCCCUGCACGUGCUGGGUGCCACAGGAGAGGUUUUCCCAAGCCUGGAGCUUGUGGCAGCAUCCACAGCACCCAGCUCAGCAGGGUUCAGCCUGCCAGGGGAAAGCUUGUCCUACCUUCUGUCCCACUUCUCCCCAGCUUUGCUUUGCUCUCCUGCCUUCAGCCACACAGCAAUGA